AGGACGAAGUGCCCUCACCGGCUGAAUCGGGCACCCUGUUUCAGGAAGACGACGACAAGGCAGGCGCCAAGCUAGGAGCCGACGAAAGGGCAAGAAACGAAAACGCUGACCGAACAGUAUACUUGAACACGUCGCCCGAACCGAGCGUUCGCCACGCGCUACCAGCACGAAGUUCAUCUAAUAGCAUCGCCAAUGCCUGUACAACGAGCGACCGAGACUUGCUGUUGUCGGUCAUAGCAGGAGUGUCUAGGCGGCCCCUCAAUCACUUGCCGAUUGCAUCACAAUCCAUCCACCUGGUGAACAUAGAUCGAUCACCGAUCUACAAUAGUACUAUGGAUAAUUACGUCAAGCUAGGAGCCAACGAAAGGGCAAGAAACGAAAACCCUGACCGAACAGUAUACUUGAACACGUCGCCCGAACCGAGCGUUUGCCACGCACUACCAGCACGAAGUUCAUGUAAUAGCAUCGCCAAUGCCUGUACAACGAGCAACCGAGACCUGCAGUUACCGGUAAUAGCAAGAGUGCCUAGACCACCCCGCAGUCACUUGCUGAUCGCGUCACAAUCCAACCACCCGAUCGACACGAAUAGAGCCCCGAUCAACCAUAGUACUAAGAUACCAGCUACAUCAGAUACCAGCGGAAAUCUUUCAGCACCAGAGGAUGCUAUUAGAGGGAAUUUUGAUGGGCGAACACGGCAAGGCCCAUGACUUGCAGGGAAUUCACUGUUUCUUACGAAAUCAAUGACGGAAGGACGACCGCCACUUAUCCAGAGAUUCAACAUUAUGAACGGCGUUUUUGCAUUACGUCAGCAGGCUCCUUCCGAUCCUACCUCAACUGUCACUCUACUGAAACAACGUCUAGCGAGUGGAAGCCACGCACACUAACUCUGCGAUGGUUUCCAAGCACAAUCCGUCUAAGCCAAGGGCUGCCUCCUUUACAGCGAACUCGUCUCUCACUAGUGAAUGUGCUUCUCCCGCUACCUCCGGCUCGAGGCAUCGGUAGGGGCUCACAAAUGUUGAAAUACCGAGUACCGAAGUAUCCUGGUACUCUUCUAGAGUAUAGCCCGGACGCUAUAAGCCCGCAUGCCACAAUCGAAGCAAACUUUGAAGAUGCCGAACAUUCAUCUCAUAAUCUUCGUACUUUGGAACAAACAUGCUCAUCGCCCACACAACUCGACGCCAGCAGGUGUUUCAGUGAAUGACGUGUAAUGACAACAGGAUGACAUGCUGGAGCAACAGCCAACUUUGUUACUAGUGUUCUCAAUGAAAGAAACCAACUGCCCGGUGCCGACUGGCUCAGUUCGAAAUUGCGAUGUGUUUUGGCUUUUCUCUCAAGCGUCCGUUCGACUAUUUGCAUUUCUUUACAUUCUUUAUUUUUUUAGCCUUCAAUGCUUGAAGCUCUGUUUUCAUAAGCCUUUUUCUUAUUAUUAUUGACCUUUCUAAUAUUCUGUACAAGCUGUCGCUGUUCUUGCAAUAAAGUUCAUAUGAAAGCUAC
This is a long non-coding RNA of Rhipicephalus microplus (southern cattle tick), 1494 nucleotides long. Lineage: Eukaryota; Metazoa; Arthropoda; Arachnida; Ixodida; Ixodidae. The record is from RefSeq and is a predicted model, not a curated record.